Geotrichum reessii is the source of this 72-nucleotide non-coding RNA. Lineage: Eukaryota; Fungi; Ascomycota; Dipodascomycetes; Dipodascales; Dipodascaceae. The record is from the annotation of a GenBank genome assembly.
GGUCUAGUGGCCUAAUGGUAAGGUACUACUUUCCGGCGGUAGUGAUUGCGGGUUCGAGUCCCGUCUAGAUCU